GAUUUCACAGUCGGUUCAUUAUU
This 23-nucleotide microRNA is filed under the name Phaeodactylum tricornutum. RNAcentral's name for it is "pti-miR5481". The record is from miRBase by way of RNAcentral. Lineage: Eukaryota; Bacillariophyta; Bacillariophyceae; Surirellales; Neidiaceae.